GCGAGAGUGGCGGAAUUGGUAGACGCACCAGAUUUAGGUUCUGGCGGUUAACCCCGUGGGGGUUCGAGUCCCCCCUUUCGCACCA
This 85-nucleotide transfer RNA is filed under the name Rhodanobacter thiooxydans. Its description in RNAcentral is "tRNA-Leu". It matches the Rfam family "tRNA". From Rfam's summary of the family: Transfer RNA (tRNA) molecules are approximately 80 nucleotides in length. RNAcentral also lists the same sequence under 35 other names. Lineage: Bacteria; Pseudomonadati; Pseudomonadota; Gammaproteobacteria; Lysobacterales; Rhodanobacteraceae. The record is from RNAcentral.